Molecule: long non-coding RNA, 285 nt
Filed under: Homo sapiens (human)
Lineage: Eukaryota; Metazoa; Chordata; Mammalia; Primates; Hominidae
Description: HSALNT0334687
Source: RNAcentral
UGGAAGUCCUUCAGUCCUGAAAAUGCACAUGGAAAAUCUUGCCACUCAUAUGCUACCUAAUAAAAGAGCUGAAAUUGUUAGGCUUGGACGCCAGCCCUCUGAUUGCACUAUGAGAGGGGGUGGUGAUUCUCCCAACCUGGAAACUGAUCUGACAGGAUAGGACCAGAGACCAGGUGAUACCACCCCACAUUGCUGUGGCACCCAGGAUGACACAACAAGAAGGCCCUGGCCAAUUGCAGUCUUCUCUAUCUUGGACAUUCCAGCCUCCACAACUAUAAGAAGGAA